CUCUUUCCCAUUACAGCACCGCCUCUUUUUAGUUUUCUCCCACCGGAAUGGAUCAACUGUUUCAUAGCUUCCUCCUCUUCACUGUCUCCAUCCAUCCAUAGCAAAAAAAUGAAUCUAGAGGUAUUCCGCUCAAUCUAAUGGUGUACAAUCUCCCUUCGGCUAACACACUCUCCCAUCCCUAUCUUUAAUUUUGUUGUGCUUCUUCAACUUAAUUGUUCUCGCCAAAUUUGCAUUUAAUCAUUUCUGGGUAAUGACUAAUGACGAGGACUACUGAACAAGCUGCUGCAGUAAUUGCGAAGUUGUUGAAGAAGGUGACGGUUCAUGGUCACCACGGUUUGGGCGGCCAUUGCUGAUCAUUUCGAUGAUUCGAAAGUUUUUGGUUACCUCAUGAUAUCAAUGAUCGUUCCUUUGAGAUUUAUGCCCCGUAUCUGGAGCAUUUGGAAAUUUCAGGAGAUCUUGGGGAUCUUCAGUGUAGGCUUGUUGACGUGUCCUCCUUGGUUAAUGCUAAGGUUACUUUCUACAUUUCAUGUAUCAAACACAUCCGACAUGAACGUAAGGAGUUUAUUAGUGUUGAUGACUACAGCUGUCAUGACUAUCAUCAAAGUUUUAGCGUUCUCGCCCGAGAUUAUCUUCAAAAGUUGAGUUGUGCAACUGAGCUAACGAUCGGAUCUUGGUUCACAGAGGUCCCAUGCAUGUUGCAGUUCAAUGGAUUGCUGGUUCCAGAGUUGAAAUGCAAAUAUCUAUCACUAGAACUGUGUAUAGAAAACUUUGAUUUGAAUGGAGUAGCUGGACUUUUGGGAGCUUUGCCUCAUGUGGAGACUUUAAACAUAUACAUGACAGAAAAUCUCCUUGAUAAUUACUUUUGCGACUUUGAGGAAAACAAUACCGAUCUGCAGAGUUGGAUUUCAAGCAUUGUGUUUCCCAACCUCAAGAAUAUUACGAUUGUCAACUCCAUCCUGGUGUGUUUAAACAGGCAAAAAAGAAAACGGGGCUUUCGCAGACUUGUUAAACUUUCACAACUUCUGUUAAAGAAUGCAACGAUUUUGAAGAAGUUUCUUGUCAUAUCAAAGAGCAGAAUGUGCAAGAAAUGUAAGAAAUGUUUAACAAACUGUUGGUGCAAUUUUUUCUCUGGAUUGUUUGACAAGUUGUAUCCCUCAAGAUCCUCCACCAAUGCCAAAUUUAUCUUGCAGGUUCAAGUUUUCCGGGACUAGACUACAAAUUGAUUAGCUUCAGCAAUCAUGAUUAAUUACUCUUCUUUUGAAUUUGCCUUUAUACCAAAUGUUAUGAUAGUUUUGUUUCUCGUGAAAUUGUUGUUCGUUGCAUUUUAGAUAUUGUGCAUGUUGAGAUUUACUUGCAACUCUUGUUUGUUGGACCUAUAAACAUGUGUAAAUCUGCAAACCAUCUUUUUAAUGAUAAUUAGCAUAUUAUGAAA
Molecule: RNA transcript, 1432 nt
Organism: Solanum tuberosum (potato)
Lineage: Eukaryota; Viridiplantae; Streptophyta; Magnoliopsida; Solanales; Solanaceae
Exons: 5
Source: RefSeq, a predicted model, not a curated record